Molecule: small nuclear RNA, 87 nt
Filed under: Fukomys damarensis (Damara mole-rat)
Lineage: Eukaryota; Metazoa; Chordata; Mammalia; Rodentia; Bathyergidae
Source: RNAcentral
GUCCUUGUUUUGGUAGCACAUAUACUAAAACUGGAACAAUACAGAGAUUAUCAUGGCAUACAAAUUUGUGAAGUGUUCCAUGUUUUA